Molecule: ribosomal RNA, 265 nt
Filed under: uncultured archaeon
Lineage: Archaea
Description: partial 16S ribosomal RNA
Rfam family: Archaeal small subunit ribosomal RNA
Source: RNAcentral
AGUCACUGACAUUAGAUACCCGCGUAGUCCAGGGUGUAAACGCUGCAGACUUGGUGUUGGGGGCCCUUUGGGAGCAUUCAGUGCCGGAGAGAAGUUGUUAAGUCUGCUACUUGGGGAGUACGUCCGCAAGGAUGAAACUUAAAGGAAUUGGCGGGGGAGCACCGCAACGGGAGGAGCGUGCGGUUUAAUUGGAUUCAACACCGUAAAACUCACCAGGGAAGACUGUUACAUGAAGGCCGAGAUGAAGACUCUGCUAGAUUUUCAG